RNAcentral lists this ribosomal RNA (349 nucleotides) under uncultured soil bacterium. Its description in RNAcentral is "bacterial SSU rRNA". It matches the Rfam family "Bacterial small subunit ribosomal RNA", at positions 26 to 383 of the family's 1533-position model. The record is from RNAcentral.
AGAUUGAACGCUGGCGGCAUGCCUAACACAUGCAAGUCGAACGGGAGUAGCAAUACUCUAGUGGCGGACGGGUGAGGAAUACGUAGGAAUUUGCCCUUAAGUGGGGGAUAACCCGGGGAAACCCGGAUUAAUACCGCAUGACCUCGAAAGAGCAAAGUGGGGGAUCGCAAGACCUCACGCUUUUGGAGAAGCCUACGUCGGAUUAGCUAGUUGGUGAGGUAAUGGCUCACCAAGGCGACGAUCCGUAACUGGUCUGAGAGGAUGAUCAGUCACACCGGAACUGAGACGCGGUCCGGACUCCGUACGGGAGGCAGCAGGUGGGGAAUAGUGGACAAGUGGGCGCGAAGCC